This 449-nucleotide ribosomal RNA is filed under the name uncultured bacterium. RNAcentral describes it as "SSU rRNA". It matches the Rfam family "Bacterial small subunit ribosomal RNA", at positions 26 to 518 of the family's 1533-position model. The record is from RNAcentral.
AGAACGAACGCUGGCGGCAGGCUUAACACAUGCAAGUCGAACGCGUGUAGCAAUACACGAGUGGCGCACGGGUGAGUAACGCGUGGAUAUCUGCCUUUUGGUUCGGAAUAACCCCGGGAAACUGGGGCUAAUACCGGAUGGUUCCUACGGGAUAAAGAUUUAUCGCCAAAAGAUGAGUCCGCGUCCGAUUAGCUAGUUGGUGGGGUAAUGGCCUACCAAGGCGACGAUCGGUAGCUGGUCUGAGAGGACGAUCAGCCACACUGGGACUGAGACACGGCCCAGACUCCUACGGGAGGCAGCAGUGGGGAAUAUUGGACAAUGGGGGCAACCCUGAUCCAGCCAUGCCGCGUGAGUGAUGAAGGCCUUCGGGUUGUAAAGCUCUUUUGGCGGGGUACGAUGAUGACGGUACCCGCAGAAUAAGCCCCGGCUAACUUCGUGCCAGCAGCCGC